This 278-nucleotide ribosomal RNA is filed under the name uncultured bacterium. RNAcentral's name for it is "partial 16S ribosomal RNA". It matches the Rfam family "Bacterial small subunit ribosomal RNA", at positions 506 to 784 of the family's 1533-position model. The record is from RNAcentral.
UGCCAGCCGCCGCGGUAAUACGGAGGGUGCAAGCGUUAUUCGGAAUUACUGGGCGUAAAGCGCAUGUAGGCGGAUAAUUAAGUCAGAUGUGAAGUUACGAGGCUCAACUUCGUGGUGCGUCUGAAACUGGUCAUCUAGAGUCCGAGAGAGGAAAGCGGAAUUCCUAGUGUAGAGGUGAAAUUCGUAGAUAUUAGGAAGAACAUCAGUGGCGAAGGCGGCUUUCUGGACCAAUACUGACGCUGAGAUGCGAAAGCGUGGGGAGCGAACAGGAUUAGAUA